Molecule: ribosomal RNA, 398 nt
Filed under: uncultured bacterium
Lineage: Bacteria
Description: bacterial SSU rRNA
Rfam family: Bacterial small subunit ribosomal RNA
Source: RNAcentral
AAUCUUCCACAAUGGGCGCAAGCCUGACCCAGCAACGCCGCGUGAAGGAAGAAGGCUUUCGGGUUGUAAACUUCUUUUCUGAGGGACGAAGCAAGUGACGGUACCUUAGGAAUAAGCCACGGCUAAUUACGUGCCAGCAGCCGCGGUAAUACGUAGGUGGCAAGCGUUAUCCGGAUUUACUGGGUGUAAAGGGCGUGUAGGCGGGACUGCAAGUCAGAUGUGAAAACCAUGGGCUCAACCUGUGGCCUGCAUUUGAAACUGUAGUUCUUGAGUACUGGAGAGGCAGACGGAAUUCCUAGUGUAGCGGUGAAAUGCGUAGAUAUUAGGAGGAACACCAGUGGCGAAGGCGGUCUGCUGGACAGCAACUGACGCUGAGGCGCGAAAGCGUGGGGAGCAAA